RNAcentral lists this ribosomal RNA (588 nucleotides) under uncultured Pseudomonas sp. RNAcentral describes it as "bacterial SSU rRNA". It matches the Rfam family "Bacterial small subunit ribosomal RNA", at positions 90 to 674 of the family's 1533-position model. The record is from RNAcentral. Lineage: Bacteria; Pseudomonadati; Pseudomonadota; Gammaproteobacteria; Pseudomonadales; Pseudomonadaceae.
UGAGAGCGGCGGACGGGUGAGUAAUGCCUAGGAAUCUGCCUGGUAGUGGGGGAUAACGUUCGGAAACGGACGCUAAUACCGCAUACGUCCUACGGGAGAAAGCAGGGGACCUUCGGGCCUUGCGCUAUCAGAUGAGCCUAGGUCGGAUUAGCUAGUUGGUGAGGUAAUGGCUCACCAAGGCGACGAUCCGUAACUGGUCUGAGAGGAUGAUCAGUCACACUGGAACUGAGACACGGUCCAGACUCCUACGGGAGGCAGCAGUGGGGAAUAUUGGACAAUGGGCGAAAGCCUGAUCCAGCCAUGCCGCGUGUGUGAAGAAGGUCUUCGGAUUGUAAAGCACUUUAAGUUGGGAGGAAGGGUUGUAGAUUAAUACUCUGCAAUUUUGACGUUACCGACAGAAUAAGCACCGGCUAACUCUGUGCCAGCAGCCGCGGUAAUACAGAGGGUGCAAGCGUUAAUCGGAAUUACUGGGCGUAAAGCGCGCGUAGGUGGUUUGUUAAGUUGGAUGUGAAAUCCCCGGGCUCAACCUGGGAACUGCAUUCAAAACUGACUGACUAGAGUAUGGUAGAGGGUGGUGGAAUUUCCUGU